Molecule: ribosomal RNA, 498 nt
Filed under: Triticum aestivum (bread wheat)
Lineage: Eukaryota; Viridiplantae; Streptophyta; Magnoliopsida; Poales; Poaceae
Description: partial small subunit ribosomal RNA
Source: RNAcentral
AUGACAGAUGCAUGGACAGACAAAAGAGGAAGGGGAGUGAUGACUUUGGUAGUUCAUAGUGCCUAUUGUGUUAUAUUUGUUGAUUCUGUGGACUGUUCAGAUGUGAGAAAAGAUGGCAAGAUAAUAUUUGAGCUUGUUGAUAGAUGCAUAGAAGAAAUUGGGGAGAAGAAUGUAGUUCAAGUUGUAAUGGAUAAUGCCUCAGUCAAUAUAGCAGCAGCAGCGAUGAUGAAAGUGAAGCUGCCCUCCCUAUUUUGGAAUGGUUGUGCAGCCCACACAAUUGAUUUGAUGUUGGAGGACAUAGGGAAGCUUCCUAUAAUCGAUCAAACCAUUGCCAAAGGAAAGCAUGUGGCUGUGUUCAUUUAUGCGCAUACAAGAGUUUUGGCAUUGAUGAGAAAAUUUCUUGUAAAAGACCUAGUCCGCUCUGGUAUUACUAGGUUUGCACCAGCAUAUUUGAACUUGAAGAGUUUGCAGGGCAACAAAAAAGAGCUACAAAAGUUG